Molecule: long non-coding RNA, 782 nt
Organism: Glycine soja
Lineage: Eukaryota; Viridiplantae; Streptophyta; Magnoliopsida; Fabales; Fabaceae
Exons: 2
Source: RefSeq, a predicted model, not a curated record
CUUCCUUGUCCGUGGUUGAGCAUGAAGAACAGUAACAAACAAGUCCCUAGAGGAAUCUUAGUUCCCCAACUCUAUUGUUUCGCCUGCAGAAAUCAGUAGAACAACAAAUAAGCACAAGUUCCACCCACAUGGGAACUACAUUCAAGGUACCAUCAUAUAACCAUAGAUGCUCCUAUUAGAAGCCUCACUGUGAAGAACCAAAGCAUAUGCUCAAGUAUUUGGUGUGGUCAACUUUGGAGGGUCCUGAAGGUAAGCCAACUUAAGUUGAAAUUGACUUGGAAAAAGGAAUGAGUAAAGGCAGGUUCAAUGUAUGAACCAAAAGGAUUAGGAGGCAUUUCAAAAUCAAGCUACCAAUAAAACACCAAUUCACCUAACUUCAGUCAGAGUAGCAUUCAUCAGAUGGGAGGGCAAAACAUGAGGCACGCUGAAUCGUUGAUAACCAACUCCACCCUAUGAACCACUUUUUUUUCUCCACUGUAAACUCUUACCAAAUCAAAAUUCUUCCAGUUAACAAAACCCAUAUAAAAUUUGACAGUUUGAAGUCCAGAUAGUUUAACAAUGCAAAGGGUUCACCACUUUGAUGUGCUAGUCCACAUAAAUGAGCAUCAACAACCACCCUAAGGCCUAAACACAUUCUCUCUAAUGAAUCCUCAAACCAAUAAUAUGUAACAGUAUGUGAUUAAUAUUUCAAGUAUAAAUAGCAUUUUUCUUUUAGCAGUAAAUAAUAUGGCCUGCCAAAAGAUCAAUAAGCAAUGAUAUACAUAACAAAAUUAAAAAAAAAA